Molecule: ribosomal RNA, 412 nt
Filed under: Vibrio parahaemolyticus
Lineage: Bacteria; Pseudomonadati; Pseudomonadota; Gammaproteobacteria; Vibrionales; Vibrionaceae
Description: partial 23S ribosomal RNA
Rfam family: Bacterial large subunit ribosomal RNA
Source: RNAcentral
GAGGCGAACCGGGGGAACUGAAACAUCUAAGUACCCCGAGGAAAAGAAAUCAACCGAGAUUCCGAAAGUAGCGGCGAGCGAAAUUGGACUAGCCCUUAAGCUUUACACGCGUUAGACGAACGGUCUGGAAAGUCCGACGAUACAGGGUGAUAGUCCCGUAGUUGACGACGUGUGUUCAGUGAAAUCGAGUAGGGCGGGACACGUGAUAUCCUGUCUGAAUAUGGGGGGACCAUCCUCCAAGGCUAAAUACUACUGACUGACCGAUAGUGAACCAGUACCGUGAGGGAAAGGCGAAAAGAACCCCUGUGAGGGGAGUGAAAUAGAACCUGAAACCGUGUACGUACAAGCAGUAGGAGCACCUUCGUGGUGUGACUGCGUACCUUUUGUAUAAUGGGUCAGCGACUUAUAUUCA